GGAGCAAUCCUGGUGGCGAGUGGCGAACGGGUGAGUAAUGUAUCGGAACGUACCUUUCAGUGGGGGAUAACGUAGCGAAAGUUACGCUAAUACCGCAUAUUCUGUGCGCAGGAAAGCAGGGGAUCGCAAGACCUUGCGCUGAUUGAGCGGCCGAUAUCAGAUUAGCUAGUUGGUGAGGUAAAGGCUCACCAAGGCGACGAUCUGUAGCGGGUCUGAGAGGAUGAUCCGCCACACUGGAACUGAGACACGGUCCAGACUCCUACGGGAGGCAGCAGUGGGGAAUUUUGGACAAUGGGGGCAACCCUGAUCCAGCCAUGCCGCGUGAGUGAAGAAGGCCUUCGGGUUGUAAAGCUCUUUCGGCCGGGAAAAUCGCAUGGGUUAAUACCCUGUGCGGAUGACGGUACCGGCAUAAGAAGCACCGGCUAACUACGUGCCAGCAGCCGCGGUAAUACGUAGGGUGCGAGCGUUAAUCGGAAUUACUGGGCGUAAAGCGUGCGCAGGCGGUUUUGUAAGACAGGCGUGAAAUCCCCGGGCUCAACCUGGGAACUGCGCUUGUGACUGCAAGGCUAGAGUAUGGCAGAGGGGGGUGGAAUUCCACGUGUAGCAGUGAAAUGCGUAGAGAUGUGGAGGAACACCAAUGGCGAAGGCAGCCCCCUGGGCCAAUACUGACGCUCAUGCACGAAAGCGUGGGUAGCAAACAGGAUUAGAUACCCUGGUAGUCCACGCCCUAAACGAUGUCAACUAGGUGUUGGGUGGGUAAAACCAUUUAGUACCGGAGCUAACGCGUGAAGUUGACCGCCUGGGGAGUACGGCCGCAAGGUUAAGACUCAAAGGAAUUGACGGGGACCCGCACAAGCGGUGGAUGAUGUGGAUUAAUUCGAUGCAACGCGAAAAACCUUACCUACCCUUGACAUGUCCAGGAGCCUGAAGAGAUUUGGGUGUGCCCGAAAGGGAACUGGAACACAGGUGCUGCAUGGCUGUCGUCAGCUCGUGUCGUGAGAUGUUGGGUUAAGUCCCGCAACGAGCGCAACCCUUGUCGUUAAUUGCCAUCAUUCAGUUGGGCACUUUAACGAGACUGCCGGUGACAAACCGGAGGAAGGUGGGGAUGACGUCAAGUCCUCAUGGCCCUUAUGGGUAGGGCUUCACACGUCAUACAAUGGUCGGUACGAAGGGUCGCCAACCCGCGAGGGGGAGCCAAUCCCAGAAAGCCGAUCGUAGUCCGGAUCGUAGGCUGCAACUCGCCUGCGUGAAGUCGGAAUCGCUAGUAAUCGUGGAUCAGCAUGUCACGGUGAAUACGUUCCCGGGUCUUGUACACACCGCCCGUCACACCAUGGGAGCGGGUUCCGCCAGAAGUAGGUAGCCUAACCGCAAGGGGGGCGCUUACCACGGCGGGGUUCGUGACUGGGGUGAAGUCGUAACAAGGUA
RNAcentral lists this ribosomal RNA (1425 nucleotides) under metagenome. RNAcentral's name for it is "bacterial SSU rRNA". It matches the Rfam family "Bacterial small subunit ribosomal RNA". The record is from RNAcentral.